This 511-nucleotide long non-coding RNA is filed under the name Panax ginseng (ginseng). RNAcentral describes it as "long non-coding RNA (PGIN_LNC002582)". Lineage: Eukaryota; Viridiplantae; Streptophyta; Magnoliopsida; Apiales; Araliaceae. The record is from RNAcentral.
CGGACGAUUUUAAAGUAGACUCCCCAUUCAUUAGAUAGAGAAGAUCACCAAGAUUUAGUGAUCCGCUGCCGAACUUAUUCAAAUUCCAAGAGCUCGGGCAGAAAGAGGGUCUUCGAAUGAAAGUAGUAAGCCGAUCGAUCCAAUAGAAGCGAGCAGCAGAGUCGCUUACACCUUGCUAAUGACAUAAGUAAAGACAUCAGCUUCAAAGCCCCUAGAUAGUAAAACGUAAGAGGAAGGUGACAAAGCAAGUAUGCUACUAUUCGAACCCCAACCUAAAACCUACUACUGGAAAUCCCACUAAGGGCGGGCAUUCUGAUCAGCAACUCACUCUCUGGAGAAUUGCAUUGUCGUCGCAUAUAGCAUGGGGAAUCAGGUUAGCACCCACAUUUAGGAAUAAAAGAAAGGAGGGUUUGAAGUGCAAGAAGGCCCAGCUGUAAGUACUUCCCUGGUAUCCAACAAAAAGCGAACUUUGGUUUCAUUCCUUUUGCUCUAAGUAUACACCUUGACAACC